This 3579-nucleotide long non-coding RNA is filed under the name Oncorhynchus mykiss (rainbow trout). RNAcentral's name for it is "lncRNA (ENSOMYG00000076650.1)". The record is from RNAcentral. Lineage: Eukaryota; Metazoa; Chordata; Actinopteri; Salmoniformes; Salmonidae.
AUGACAGAGGACAGAAUCAUCAAAAGUGUCCAGGAGCAACUGUCUGAUCAUAAUAUCCUGUCCUCUUGCCCACCUGAGCUGACUGUUGGUCUUAUCAAGGUGGUGGUCGAACAGCUUAACUCUGCCCUCUCUGCGACCAUCAGCAGAGCCAUUUCAGGGCGGUCCUCCCCUAUUUCUUCUGGUACCCAGGCCGCUGAACAAAUGGUCAACAUGGUCCAGAAAUGUUUUGAUGAUCACACCACCCCAGAGGACCAGAGCUCUACCUCUGUAUUAGAGUCAUGCAUUCCACCUGCAACAGAAGAAGUGAUGACUGUUAUCGCAGAGAUGGUGGGUGAAUUGGAAAAAGAAGAUCCGGAAUUGGCUAAGGUUUUUCGAGAAGUGGCCGUGAAAGUUAAAAUGUUGGCAUCUGGCAGUGACCUUGUAGUGGAGCACCUGGAUGUUGAAGACUCUCCUGUUCCAGAGGAGCUGAACAUAAUAUGUACAUCUUGCAAAGCAAUGAUGCAAAAUCUUGGCACUCUGUUUAGUGUGAAGUUCAAGACCAAAGCCUCAAAGGCUGUGAGUGAAAUUCUUGUGAGAAGGUUAAUGAGCGAUAUCUCUGGUAUGGUUCAACCUUCUCAUUCGUUUAGUACCACUCCAAGCUUGAUGAAUGCAUCUAGCCCAUCUGACAGGAUCCUUGAUUCUGCGGCCACUGAGCUCAUACAGACCAAAGUAGAAUCUGAGGCAUCAAAAAUAAUUGAUAACUUUGUUGAAGAUGUCAAGGACAUUGUGCAGUAUGCUGAAUUAGAUCAGCCAACAAGCACCCAGAGAGAUACCCAAGUGGGACACUGUACGACAAAGCGGAAACCCUUCCAUGCAGCUCGUAGACUCUGCGAGAGACUUCAGGCAAAGCUGGAGACAUUGUUCCUCAGAAUGGGUGGAGCUCCAGUCCAAGGGGAAGAACUUAUGGAAAAAGCUGACUCCAGUGCUGUGCUUCUGGAGCAUACUGACUCCAGUGAUCUGCCUGUUUCAAUCCUGAGCUUGCCUUCCCCAUGUAGGAGUGAAUCCCCUAUAUCAGAACGUAGUUCAUCUUCUUUAUCUGAUGGAUGUGAUUCAACUGACUCUGUAGGAGAGAAAACACCAGAGCAACCUGAAACCAGUAAGAGUGAGGCAAUACUGCAAGUGGUCAACUCAACAGGACUUGGUUCUCUCCGUAAAUGCCAAAGUGAGAACUCUCAACCAUUACUGUCUCUCUGUGAUUCCAACAUGGUGCCCUGCACCAAAGAGGUCUUGUCCCAGAUUGUGACCAUGUAUAGGUCAGAGGUGGCAGAUUUGGAAUGCACAUCAUCUGUUGCAGAGGGUUCCUCUUACAACUCCCUUGAAGUCUGUGGCUUUUUGGACAGUGUCAUGUCUUAUCUAGAAGACAUGCCUGUGUCUGGUUCUUCAUGGUUGGAAGGAUUAAGAGAUACUCCAGCCUCAGUCAUUGAGAAACUCUCCAGUGAGGAGUUCCAGAUGAACGCUACCAACGAAGUGCGAAAAAUACUGAUCAAAUCAGUCAGUAGCUUUCCCAGCAAAGUCAGUUCCAGCCAGACAGAUUCUCAGAUGUUGCCAGCAAAAUCAACAAUUUCCUUAAGGCAUACAGAUAUAACUGCUUUUGAAAUCGUUGGAUCAAUUACAAAUGACAUGAAGAGCCUUUUCCCACCCACAGAGUCUUCUACUACUCUAUGGCAGGCAGACUCUAUGCUUCAACAGAGUGAUGAGAAAACCUCAGAGUACACUGAGGCCACACCCAAAGGCUCACAGUCUGGUUUGGAAGUAUCUGAGAAGAAGAUCUGGACAACUGCAAAGACUAUUUACCACAAUGUGAAGACAAAGAUGAGGAAUUAUUUUACAUGGCAAAAUCCAGUCAAAGCAACAACGGCUCAAGCCAAAAAGACCCUCAGCCAUAUUCUGGUUUCAAUUCAGAAAGAGCUGUCAAAAUCGGACCAAACGGUGACUGCGCUUUCACAAAUAGAGAAUGUGGUUGGAAUGAUGCUGAAGGAUGUUGAAAGGGUAAGCAGUGAAUGUGGUGAGGAACUGAUCUAUCAAGCGCCACAGCGUUCUUCCUCCUCGUUGUCAUCCUCAUCUGCCAGAUCAAAGAAGUCAGAGUGGGAAUUUUCACUCCCUGGCACUCCCAUCUCUUCUGAUUUACCAGAGAGUAUUACUCAGCCCAUUGUGAGAUGCUCAGUCAUCGACAUGGGCAAAUCUACUAAGCCAAAAACAUUGGUGUGUGAUGCCAGGGAAAGCAUGUCUGCAAUAGUGGAUACCAUCAUAAAGGAGGUACAUCCAGAGGAAGAAGGGGAGGUUGCAUUCCAACCUGAUCUAACAGCUGCAAUAGCAAGACUGGAGGAGCUCAUAUCUCAGGGUAGGAUUGGUGCUCUCUCACGUGAUCUUACUCACCAAGUCAACCGCAUCAUUUCUGAGAGCAACUUGACCCCUCUGGUUCUGACAGUGGCGGCUGGAAAGAGUGCAUCCGAUACAGUCCUUACUGAGCUGAAGAGGAAUGACAAGACGGUGGGGAAGCCCACAGCUUACAAGCUGGUUCAGCUUUUUGCAGAGGAGUCUGUGAAGCGCCUCUUGCUUCCUAGCCUUGUGCCCUCUACAGCUUCAAUGAGUUUGGCUCAGGGAGUUAGUGUGCCGGCUAGCGUAUCUGAAGAUAGGAUUUCAUGUUAUUUUUCUACAUCAGCAUUUAGUGACACAGUCAGCCUGUUUACCAAAGUAAUGGUAAGCCAGGUCAUGGACUCUGUGGUUUCUGAUGCACAAAGCAGAGGGUCAUCUCCAACCGGAACUGUAACUGAUAUAGGCAGUCUACUGAGUGGUAAGUCCUACCCUCUGCCAUCUUUCUCCGCCAUCAGCAUGACAACAAGUGGGACCUCCAAUGCUGCACGAGGCUUUGAGGCCAACAUAGAUGCUGAGGAAAGGGAUACCAUCAGUUGUUUCGGUGUACCUCAGAGCAUUGUUUGUGAUCAGAAUUCAACCAGCCCGGAUGUUGCUUCGCUUUCAACCCCAUCCACUGACAACUUAGUCAGUGAUGAUGACUUCACCGGCCUCAUCAGCAUGUUAGUGGUGAGACUUCUGUCAAAAAUCCAAACCCAAACUGAUCUGUACCCAACUGACGUCACACGCACGUCACAAGACCUGAUUCCAAAAGUUAUAGCUGCCUUCUGUGCAUGGUCAGGCUGCUCUGAGACCCAAGCUUAUCCCAAGAACCUGAAGAGUCACAAAGUAUACAGCACCGUCUACAAACAUCUGUUGAAGGAGUUUGGCUCAGAGAAAAUACUCCAACUGGCCGUGUCGACUCAGGACUCCACUUUCAAUAGGAUUCUUGUGAAGUCAUUGAGCAAGGAGCUUCUCCACAGUUGUAACGAGGCAUCAAGAGCAGCCUCAAGAACAUCUUUCGAAGCCACCAGGCCAGAAGCUCUUCUCAUGGCUGAAGAUGUGAAGGCUACCAGAGGGAAGCUGUCUUUCCUACAAAGGCUUGCCAGACUGAAAUUCAACUUAAAGCCAUUCAUGAUGGGAAACAAGAAGGAUUCCAAUAAGAAAUCCCGCCAUUCUGAAUCAAAG